CUCAUGCGAUGAACGUGGUGAUUGGACCGAAGAUUGAGAGGAAACUGAUAACCGGAUCCUACGUGGUGGCAGAUGUGAUGUGUGGUAAUUGUGGUGAGAAGUUGGGUUGGAAGUAUGUGGAGACCUUCCAUCUUAAACAGAGGUAUAAAGAAGGCAUGUUUGUGAUCGAGAGGCUCAAGUUGACCAAGAAACUUUAGUCAAGGAAAGUGAUGAUCAUGUGUAAUAUCUUUUUCUUUGUCAAGAUCAUGUGUAUAUCUACGCCCUUGUUGUAUCAUGAAUGUGAAUAUAGUGGUUGUUAAUAUGCCUUUUCCAAAACUCUUGAAGAGGGAAGAUCCGUGUAGAGUGAGAACAGACCCCUCUUAGUCUUACUUAUUGGUCCAAUCCAACCCUGAAAACUUAAAAGUUUGCCCUCAACAGUAAUGGUUAUAAAAAUUAACAAAUUUCUUUUUAACAAAACGGAUAAAAUCAAUAGUAACGCGUGCUGCUGACAUUUACCUAUGAUCUCACUGAAUUUUUUUUAAAGAUUAUAUAAUGACUAGAUAGAAGGUAUAAUAUAGGUCAAGUUAUCAACUUUGUAAGAGUUAUAAUUUUUCAGUUAAGAAAAAGAGAGAUAAUUUUUUGGUUCACAAGUGAUGCAUGUUUUAAAAUUACCCUGUAUUAAUGUUUAUGAAAAUAGUAUAAAAACAAAAAGUAAUUCAAAAUUAAAAAAAAAAACCUAUUAUAUGUUUCACAUUUCCACUUCGCAUCACAGCUUGCUCCUUUUUUGCAUUGCUCCCAGUCAUUAUAAAAGCAAAAACCCAGAAAAAGAAAGUCGUAAGAUAGUCGCUUCACGGCGUGAUCUGAUCAAAGAGACUCAUAAAGAUCAAGACUUUCAUCCAACUCCAACCUAAAAUCUCUCACCAUUAUCUUUCUUCCUCGUUCGCUCCGUUAAACCCUAGUAAGAUCCCUCAAGAUUGAACCCUUUUCGUCUGAUUUUUUUCUCCAUUUAGUUGUCAAACCUGAAUCGUAGUUUUCUCUCAGGGAAUAUCUUUUACCCUACCAAAUGUAUUAUUGUGUAUUUUUAUAUUCCUUGUGUCUAGUAAUAGUACGAUUUGUUUAUUGAAUAUUUUGAGGUACUGUCGUGUAGAAAUUGGAAUCUCUCGUCCCGCACGCCAACACCUGCCCACUCUUCUUAUCCUUUUAUUUUCUUCAGACAUUAAAGCUUGGAGCUUGACGAACUAGUGAUUCUCGAAAGGUUUCUUUUGAUCUUCUCUUCUCGUUUAGAAUUUUGGUUUCCAUGUGGGAUCUUGAUAUCUUUAUGGGUUUUGUGUUUUUUCUUUCGAUUUAUGGUGAAAAGGUGAGAACUUGAUUGAUUUGUUUGGAAAAGUUGAUCACGCCCUGAAGGUGUUUGAUAGAAUGGCUCAGUCAGUUGGUCCAAGGCUGUAUAGUUGCUGCAACUGCAGGAACCAUGUGGGACUUCACGAUGAUAUUAUCUCUAAGGCUUUUCAGGUGAGAAUCAAACUUCAUCAUCCCUUUUGUUUUGCCUGUGUCCCUUAUGGUAUAUGUAGAGAGAAUUAAGUGGAGAAUCACACUAAGACUAGUUGGAGCUCUGAUAAUCUAUUUGUUUUUCAGAUUUUAGGAAAAGCCUUGACUUUAUUGUCGUUUUUAUCGAAUUUGGAAUGAUCAAUGCUACUAAUCAAGGGUGCAUUUUCCCACCAAGCUACCUGUUUCUUGGUUUUGUGAAAGAGAAACUAAACAUAAGACUCAAAGAAGUAGCCUUUGACUCAUUGUUAUAAAUAACAACAAGACUAGUCAGUCUUUGAAUAUGCUAAGAUCAUUUCAAAAGUUAUUUGUUAGACAGACGCUACUGGCCAUUACAUAUUACUCGGUUUUGAAUAAAAUUUUCAGUUUGAGUUCCUAACCUAUGCUUCUCAAUUAUUAGGGAAGAACCGGGAGAGCCUUCCUCUUCUCCCACGCAAUGAACAUCGUGGUUGGGCCUAAAGAAGACCGGAAUCUUCUAACGGGUCUCCACACCGUGGCUGACAUAUCUUGUGCUGACUGCAAUGAACCCUUGGGCUGGAAGUACGAGCGAGCCUACGAGAGCUCACAAAAGUACAAGGAGGGCAAGUUCAUAUUCGAAAAGGCUAAGAUUGUCAAGGAGGAGGAUUGGUAGUGAAAGCAACAUGUUGAAUUCAUUAUUGGAUUGACUCAAAAACUGUACAUAGAUAAAACCUUGGCUUUGUCGAUUCCAAUCUUUAUGGAUUUCACAAGUCUAUCAUCAUCCAUUAUUCGGUUCGUUAUCUCUCGCCUGCAUGCUGUUAAAUAUGCCAGUUUCUUGUGUUUAAGUGGAUGUUUAUAUAAUAUAUAUACAUUAAUUAUGGAUAUGUUCUUCGUUCAAGGCUUCUCUGUAAAUGAAGUUAAGUCAGACCUUUAUUUGUGAAUAAUAAUAAUAUACUUGAAGAUAAUCAAUCCAUAGGAAGAAAGAACUGCGUGCCGUUUUCUCGGUCAUGCACCUAACAUCGACGUAGACAACCUGCUGUUUUAUGUCUACCACAGCCAACUGUUCGCCGUUUUUUUGACGAAUUGCCAACGAAAGUUGAGCAAUGUGACUACAGAGAGAGAGAGGGAAAGACGUGGUGAUUGGACCGAAGAUUGAGAGGAAACUGAUAACCGGAUCCUACGUGGUGGCAGAUGUGAUGUGUGGUAAUUGUGGUGAGAAGUUGGGUUGGAAGUAUGUGGAGACCUUCCAUCUUAAACAGAGGUAUAAAGAAGGCAUGUUUGUGAUCGAGAGGCUCAAGUUGACCAAGAAACUUUAGUCAAGGAAAGUGAUGAUCAUGUGUAAUAUUUUUUUCUUUGUCAUGAUCA
RNAcentral lists this long non-coding RNA (2844 nucleotides) under Brassica napus (rape). Its description in RNAcentral is "long non-coding RNA (BNAP_LNC009639)". The record is from RNAcentral. Lineage: Eukaryota; Viridiplantae; Streptophyta; Magnoliopsida; Brassicales; Brassicaceae.